RNAcentral lists this long non-coding RNA (451 nucleotides) under Homo sapiens (human). Its description in RNAcentral is "HSALNT0304053". The record is from RNAcentral. Lineage: Eukaryota; Metazoa; Chordata; Mammalia; Primates; Hominidae.
CGGAGAGGCAGACAGCGGCGGCGAGGCGCGCAGCGGCGGCGCAGGCGCGGAGAGGCGCUGGCGCCGGCUCUGGCGCGGAGAGGUGCAGGCCCAGGCUCCACUCCCCAGCUGUGAAAGGGUUUUCUGCCUCCUGCUAAGCCAAUUUAUACAUUCCAAGAAAAUCUUCCAUUUCAUCCAGGUGAAACGGAACCUACUGGAAUGAAGCUGGCCUCCCAUGGAAUGAAGCUGGCCUCCCGUCUCCUUGAUUUGAAGCAGCUUCUCCACGUUGGUUAUUAUGCCAUUUUUCUAAAUCUAACAUUUUAAAAUUUGUGCCUUUUCUUUCUCUUUUGCUUGACUUCUCAGAGGUUUUUUUAACGGUCUUUUCAAAGAAGUGGUUUUGGGUUUUAUUUAUCAAGUCUACUUUUAUUAUGGCUGUUUUAAAAUUAAAUACAUUUAUUUCUUGUUUCCCUUA